CCUACGGGGGGCUGCAGUCGAGGAUAUUUAGCAAUGGGCGAAAGCCUGACUAUGUGACGCCGCGUGAGGGAUGAAGGUCUUCGGAUUGUAAACCUCUUUCGAUAGGGAAGAAAAUUCCGGUUAACUACUGGAACUGACGGUACCUAGAGAAGAAGCCAUGGCUAACUCUGUGCCAGCAGCCGCGGUAAUACAGAGAUGGCGAGCGUUACUCGGAUUUAUUGGGUGUAAAGGGCAGGUAGGCGGCUAUGCAAGUUGGGGGUGAAAUCCUGUGGCUCAACCACAGAACUGCCUUCAAAACUGCAUGGCUUGAGGCUAGAAGAGGAGAGCGGAAUUCCCGGUGUAAGAGUGAAAUCUGUAGAUAUCGGGAGGAACACCAGUGGCGAAAGCGGCUCUCUAGUCUAGCCCUGACGCUAAGCUGCGAAAGCUAGGGGAGCAAACAGGCUUAGAUACCCGGGUAGUC
This 460-nucleotide ribosomal RNA is filed under the name uncultured bacterium. RNAcentral describes it as "bacterial SSU rRNA". It matches the Rfam family "Bacterial small subunit ribosomal RNA", at positions 338 to 795 of the family's 1533-position model. The record is from RNAcentral.